RNAcentral lists this ribosomal RNA (175 nucleotides) under uncultured bacterium. RNAcentral's name for it is "partial 16S ribosomal RNA". It matches the Rfam family "Bacterial small subunit ribosomal RNA", at positions 1326 to 1500 of the family's 1533-position model. The record is from RNAcentral.
CUGGAAUUGCUAGUAAUGGCAGGUCAGCAUACUGCCGUGAAUACGUUCCCGGGCCUUGUACACACCGCCCGUCACACCAUGAGAGUUGGAAAUACCCGAAGCCUGUGAGCUAACUUAAAGAGGCAGCAGUCGAAGGUAGAGCCAAUGAUUGGGGGUGAAGUCGUAACAAGGUAAC